Molecule: ribosomal RNA, 447 nt
Filed under: uncultured bacterium
Lineage: Bacteria
Description: partial 16S ribosomal RNA
Rfam family: Bacterial small subunit ribosomal RNA
Source: RNAcentral
AGCGAACGCUGGCGGCAGGCUUAACACAUGCAAGUCGAACGCCCCGCAAGGGGAGUGGCAGACGGGUGAGUAACACGUGGGAACGUACCCUUUGGUUCGGAAUAACUUGGGGAAACUCAAGCUAAUACCGGAUAAGCCCUUAUGGGGAAAGGUUUACUGCCGAAGGAUCGGCCCGCGUCUGAUUAGCUAGUUGGUGAGGUAAUGGCUCACCAAGGCGACGAUCAGUAGCUGGUCUGAGAGGAUGAUUAGCCACACUGGGACUGAGACACGGCCCAGACUCCCACGGGAGGCAGCAGUGGGGAAUAUUGGACAAUGGGGGCAACCCUGAUCCAGCCAUGCCGCGUGAGUGAUGAAGGCCUUAGGGUUGUAAAGCUCUUUUACCCGGGACGAUAAUGACUGUACCGGGAGAAUAAGCCCCGGCUAACUUCGUGCCAGCAGCCGCAGUAA